AGGGUUUGAUCCUGGCUCAGAAUGAACGCUGGCGGCGUGCUUAACACAUGCAAGUCGAACGGUAACAGAGGAGCUUGCUCCUGCUGACGAGUGGCGCACGGGUGAGUAAUGCAUAGGUAACGUGCCCCUUAGUCUGGGAUAGCCACUGGAAACGGUGAUUAAUACUGGAUACUCCUUCUUCCUUAAUGGAAGUUGGGAAAUUUUUUAGCUAAGGGAUCGGCCUAUGUUGUAUCAGGUAGUUGGUGAGGUAAUGGCUCACCAAGCCUAUGACACAUAGCGGGUCUGAGAGGAUGAUCCGCCACACUGGUACUGAGACACGGACCAGACUCCUACGGGAGGCAGCAGUGGGGAAUAUUGCACAAUGGACGAAAGUCUGAUGCAGCAACGCCGCGUGGAGGAUGACACAUUUCGGUGCGUAAACUCCUUUUAUAUGAGAAGAUAAUGACGGUAUCAUAUGAAUAAGCACCGGCUAACUCCGUGCCAGCAGCCGCGGUAAUACGGAGGGUGCAAGCGUUAUUCGGAAUCACUGGGCGUAAAGGGUGCGUAGGCGGUUUGAUAAGUCUGAUGUGAAAUCCUAUGGCUCAACCAUAGAACUGCAUUGGAAACUGUCAAACUAGAAUACUGAAGGGGCAGAUGGAAUUAGUGGUGUAGGGGUAAAAUCCGUAGAUAUCACUAGGAAU
This 680-nucleotide ribosomal RNA is filed under the name uncultured bacterium. RNAcentral's name for it is "bacterial SSU rRNA". It matches the Rfam family "Bacterial small subunit ribosomal RNA", at positions 8 to 707 of the family's 1533-position model. The record is from RNAcentral.